AGAAGGAAGGAAUGCGUCUGGAGAAGUUGCCCCCGGGGCUCCAGUCUCAAGGUCCCCACCAGAUCUCCAUCGGGACCCUUUCACGACCCCGAGCCCUUUCCCCAGGAGCUCCCAGCAACCUUCGCGCUUCUCCGGAGGGUGGGGUCUGCCGCGGCGCGGGGGCAGCCUCACCCCACCUCACUGCUGGACUCCGGAGAACCAUUUCUGGGACCGGGAGCUGUCCAGCGCCUCGGGUCCUGACGGACCGCUGAUUCGCCUAGGUGCCAUCGGACAAGCGGGUGCUCAGAGCCAGCUCUGGUGGCUCGGGAGCUUUCCCCCAACCAGGCUAAGACCACUAAACCACGCCUGGCCCGGAUGAGCUUGGAUGCAGCUCCGAACGUGGGGAUCCAUCGGUGCUGAGAACUGACCUAGGGAGCACCUUGACCCCUGCCCUAUCUGGGCACAAUUGAAGGGCCAAGUGCCACCAGCCCACUUUCCUGGAACCCUGUCUCAGACUUGGGCAGGAAGAAGAGCCAUGAGAGGUCAGGCCUUGCCUCUCCCCGCGUUCCCCAUCUUUCUCUGUGCCUCUGUUUCUGUUUUCCUCCGGCUCUCCUCCCUCCUCCUCUCUUUCCUUCCCUGCUGGGUUGGGGGCUGCUGAAUUAUCAUUUCUCAGCUCUGCUAAUGUGCUCCCCGCUGCGGGAAGGGAUCAUAAUUCUGGGAGAUGAUUAAGUUUCAAAUUGUUUUUCUUUGUGUUGUUGAAGAUGAGGCUUUAAUAUGGUCCUUCCUCAGCCCGGGAGCCUGCCCCCAUUCCUCCACUCCUAGUACUCUCCUCACUAAUAGGCUAGGUUUGGUACCAUGUCUUUUGUGGUCCUUGCCAAACUUUUAUGUGUAUGGGGUGGUAAACGAGAGGGGUAUAGACCUACCCUUUACUCAAAGGGGAAUUUUUUUGUUUUUGUUUUUUUUUGUUUUUUUUGAGACCGAGCCUCACUCUGUCGCCCAGAUUGGAGUGCAGUGGCGCCAUCUCAGCUCACUGCAACCUCUGCCUCCCGGGUUCAAGUGAUUCUCCUGCCUUAGCCUCCCGAGUAGCUGGGAUUAGAGCUGCGCGCCUCCACGCCUGGCUAUUUUUUUAUAUUUCACUAGAGACAGGUUUCACCAUGUUGGCCAGGCUGGUCUCGAACUCCUGACCUCAAAUAGUCUGCUCGCUUCAGCAUCCCAAAGUGCUGGGAUUACAGGCAUGAGCCACUGUGCCUGGCUAGGAAUACAUUUAAUAUAGUGGUGAGAAACACUGGUUUGGAAGUCGGACAAGUCAACAUUUAAAUCCUGACUCUGCCACUUACUACUCAGGUGACCUUGGAUGAGUUACUUGAACUGUCUGAGCCUCCGUUUCUUCAUCUACUAAAUGGGGAUACUGUGAAUUACCUCAUGGAGUGUUGGUGAGGAUUUAAAGUGAUAAAUCAUGUAAAGUGGUUAGCCGGGUGUACAGCUUAUGGUAAAACUCAGUGAAUGUUAGUAGAUAUUACUACCCACAUACCUUACCCUGUUUGAUCCUGCUUCCCAUAGCCUUCCUGACUUUGUUCUUCUGUUCAAUGUUUAUCUAAUGCCUACUGUUUUCCAGGUACUGUACAAUAGAGAGUAAGUUAUCCAGGAGUGAGGAAGUUGGCUUUCUUACCUAUUUGUUCCUCAAACACCCCUUCCUUUACCUCCUUCCUUCCUUCCUUUCAACUGAAGUUUACUCUCAUUUUACCCUCCCACCGGCUUCCAGUUCUUCCUGCAUUGUUCCUACUCCAUUUUUCCUUCUUUCACUGAUGUCUUAUCACUUCACUUUGAUUCUUAUCCUCCUAAUACACAUACAUUUUUUCACCUUCUACAUUAUUCUUCAUCCCAUUUGGGGCCAUCAUAGUGAAAAAAAGGGCUGAAUUUUCAAACUAGGAAAGAGAAUUCUGUCAUGCUGUGUGUAUGUGUAUAUGUGUGUGUGUGUGUCUGAGGAACACACACAUUAAUUCACAUUCAACAGUAACUCUAUAGCUGACUUCUGAACUCCUACGUUUGAACUGUGUGCUUGUUUGCCUCUCUAUCCCCUCUAUUUAAGCUCUUAAAAUACAAGUCUAUUUCUUUGCCUGCCUACCUGUCUGCUCUGUCCUUGCCUCUCUCUCUUUUGGAAUUUGUUGUUUUAAACAUCUUUAUUGAGAUACAACUGAUAUACAAAGAACUACAUGUAUUUAAUAUGUAUGAUUUGAUGAAUUUGGAUGUCUUUGUUAUAUUCUAAAUGGGAAUGCUUACUGGUUGUUAGUAUGAGAAGCUGAUUUAUGAUAAUGUGUUUUUGUGUUUGCUUAACUGGCCUCCUACCUAUCACCAUACUGGUGAUGGGUUCAGGAUACACUACACCAAAAUGUGGCAACUUGACAUUUGAGAAAACAGCAGAAGCAGGAAGGUCCCUCUCCCUUCUUCCUGGAAGUGGGCCAAAAACCUCUGACCGUCUUCCUCCUUUUCUCCUGAGGUAGAACAUAAAACCCUAAUUCCAGAGGUAUCCUCCCCAUACCCAGAGGAAAGGAGCAUCCUUGUCCUCAAGUUACACAGAGUUACUAAGUAGAAUUUGAACAAAGAGACCUUGCUAAGUUUUCUCCAGUUCACUACCACUAGACUAUACCUCCUUUGUCCAGUCAUACUUCUGCUUGCCUGUCCACUCUUAAUAAGAAUCCCAGUCUGGCCAGGCCUGGUGGCUCACUCCUGUAAUCCCAGCACUUUGGGAGGCCGAGGUGGGCGGAUCACAAGGUCAGGAGUUCAAGACCAGCCUGACCCACAUGGUGAAACCCCAUCUCUACUAAAAAUACAAAAAUUAGCAGGGCGUGGUGUUGCACACCCUGAAAUCCCAGCUACUCAGGAGGCUGAGGCAGGAGAAUCGCUUGAAGCUGGGAGGCGGAGGUUGCAGUGAGCCAAGAUCAUGCCACUGCACUCCAGCCUGGGCAACAGAGCGAGACUCUGUCUCAGAAAAAAAAAAAAAAAAAAAAAAAAAAGAAAAAGAAAAGAAAUCCCAGUCCAUCCAUUAGGGGCU
This 3031-nucleotide long non-coding RNA is filed under the name Homo sapiens (human). RNAcentral describes it as "HSALNT0329926". Lineage: Eukaryota; Metazoa; Chordata; Mammalia; Primates; Hominidae. The record is from RNAcentral.